Molecule: small nuclear RNA, 322 nt
Filed under: Oryctolagus cuniculus (rabbit)
Lineage: Eukaryota; Metazoa; Chordata; Mammalia; Lagomorpha; Leporidae
Description: 7SK RNA
Rfam family: 7SK RNA
About the family: 7SK was discovered as an abundant small nuclear RNA in the mid-70s but a possible function has only recently been suggested. Two independent studies have found that 7SK RNA binds the CDK9/cyclin T complex (known as elongation factor P-TEFb).
Source: Rfam by way of RNAcentral
GGAUGUGAGGGCGAUCUGGCUGCGACAUCUGUCACCCCAUUGAUCGCCAGGGUUGAUUCGGCUGAUCUGGCUGGCUAGGCGGGUGUCCCCUUCCUCCCUCACUGCUCCAUGUGCGUCCCUCCCGAAGCUGCGCGCUCGGUCGAAGAGGACGACCAUCCCCGCUAGAGGAGGACCGGUCUUCGGUCAAGGGUAUACGAGUAGCUGCGCUCCCCUGCUAGAACCUCCAAACAAGCUCUCAAAUUGCUAAAUGUGGGAAGUACAAAGAUUAUAUCCUAAGGCUUUAUGAUUUUCCUCAUUUUUAUAGUAAUAAGGCCAAAAGUAA